ACCUGCGGAAGGAUCAUUGCCGUUGCCUUUCCGAAAACACGACCGUCGAACACGUGACAGAAUGCUGCCGCGGAGGCGCUUGCCGCCUCCUCGGCCCCACCGGCCUCAUCCCUCUCGCCCGACGGGCGCGUUGGUUGCUGGUCGGAAUACGGCGCGGGAUGACGCCAAGGAACACGAGAAAAGCUAAGGAACCGGCGAGCCGCACAAGGGCUCUGCCGGUUGCCAAGGCCAACAAAAAAAAAUAUGACUCUCGGCAACGGAUAUCUCGGCUCUCGCAUCGAUGAAGAACGUAGCGAAAUGCGAUACGUGGUGUGAAUUGCAGAAUCCCGUGAACCAUCGAGUCUUUGAACGCAAGUUGCGCCCAAGGGACCCUCCCGAGGGCACGCCUGCCUCAUGGGCGUUAGAAGCCCAUCCACGCUCGGUUGCCUAACUAACUAACGGCGAAAGAUGCGGAUACUGGCCCUCCGAGCCGCGAGGCGCGGUGGGCCUAAGUGUGCGGCCGUCGUACGUGGCCGGGAGCGGCGAGUGGUGGGCUACUGCGCACGUCACCCCGAGCCCCGUACCGACGCAGGGCCUUGUUUGAACCCCUAACGAGGAGCUUGCCGUUGCGGCUUCUGCUGCGCGGCGCCUUCGGACCGAUACCCCAGGUCAGGCGGGGCUACCCGCCGAGUUUAAGCAUAUCAAUA
This 686-nucleotide small RNA is filed under the name Carex chalciolepis. RNAcentral describes it as "eukaryotic LSU rRNA". The stretch from base 246 to 400 matches the Rfam family "5.8S ribosomal RNA". Lineage: Eukaryota; Viridiplantae; Streptophyta; Magnoliopsida; Poales; Cyperaceae. The record is from RNAcentral.